Molecule: non-coding RNA, 27 nt
Filed under: Mus musculus (house mouse)
Lineage: Eukaryota; Metazoa; Chordata; Mammalia; Rodentia; Muridae
Source: RNAcentral
GACUAGCUCUCUUGAGCCUGCUGGCGG